GGCAGGCAGCGGAACCACUGAGCUAAAUCCUCAGCUCAGAGUCCCCAGAAGAUGGCUGGACACUAAGAAUGCCCUCAAAUAUCACACUGAGUAUGCUGAAGAGGAGUAUAAACACCAAAACAUAGCAGAACCCAAGGUCACAUCACAGGAAGACAGAACCUAACUAAAGAGAUGUCCACAGUAGGGAUAAAGUCUCUGGCUUAACUGUUCUUCACCUUGCAGCACAAAAACAAUAGAAAUAUGUGAAAGCAAGGCACCAAGAUGCCUACAAAAACCCUUAGCCUCCCACAGGUCAAUCUCAUGUCCACUGAAGUGGAGGAAAUAACAGACAAAUAACUCAAAAUCAAAUGAUCUAAAUGUUUGAAGAGCUCAAAGAAGAAGCACAUAAGCAAUUUCAUAAGAUGUUCAGCAAGCUUAAAGAGAACUUUAUUAAAUAAAGGACUUUUUAUUAAUAAAAUGUUUAAUGAGCCUAGAGAAGAAACAAAUAAUAAACAAAUUGAGUUAAACAAGACAAUACAAUAUUCUUUACUAGUCUGGUAAAGAAUUAGGAAUUAUACAGGCCGGGGAUUUAGCUCAGUCAGUGGUUCUGCCACCUACCUCACAAGCGCAAGGACCUGAGUUCAAUUCCCGGUACCAAAAAAAAAAAAAAAAAAGAAUUAGGAAUUAUAAAAAGAAAGCAAGCAAAAUAUAAGAUAUGAAAAAUAUAACAGAAAGGAUGGCUAACAGAUAUGACCAAUAUGAGGACAGAGUCUCAGAAAUUGAAGACAAAGCGGAUAUACUAGGUCAUAAACUCAGUGAUACCCUAAAAACGACAACAAAACAUGCAAGUUGAAUGCAACAGCUACCAAAUAACUCAAAAAGAAAACAUUAGCAUUAUAAGAAUAAAGGAAAAAAUGAAAAGAUGACUCAAAAGAUAUAGAAAUUUUAUUCACUGAAAUCACAGCAGAAAAUUAUCCAAAUCUAGGGAAAGAAUUAAAUAUUAAACUACAGGAGGCAUAUAGAACACCAAGGAGCCAUGGCCAGAAAAGAACCUCUCCACAGUAUAAUAUAAUCAACAUUCCAGAAAUUCAGGCCAGGGAUUUAGCUCAGUGGUACUGCGUCUGCCUUGCAAGUGCAAGGUCAUGAGUUCAAUCCCUGGUACAAAAAAAAAAAAAAAAAUUCCAGAAAUUUACAAAAGGAGAAAAUAGUGAAAGCUGUUAAGAAAAAGCAGCAAAUAGGCAAGCCUAUUAGAAUUACAACAAACUUUAAAGGCCAGGAAAACUUGGAGCAAAAGUUUUCAAGCCUCAAAAGAAAACAACUGUCAAUUCAGACUUCUAUAGCCUGAAAAAUCACCCUUCAAAAACUGACAGAGAAGUAAAUGCUUUCCAUGACAAAGAAACCCUAAAGAAAUACAUGACCACUAAAUGGGCAUUGCAAAAAGUACUCAAGAGAAUCCUAGACAGAAACAGGGAGGCCACCAGCACCAAAGAGCCCAAAGGAAAUUAUACAUCUAACUGGGAGAGUAAUUAAAAAAAAGGUAAAAAAACAAAGGAAUUAGCACUGGAAAACUAAUGCAAUCACAAGAUUCAAUAAAUACCUUACAAUAAUGUCUCUGUCAAUAGUCUUCAAUCCCCAAUCAAAAGACAGACUGGCAGGUUGGAUCAAAAAACAAAAUGCAGGGGCCCGGGAUUUAGCUCAGUGGUGCCGCUGCCUGCCUCAGAAGUGCAAGGUCCUGAGUUUGAUCCCCAGUACCAAAAAAAAAAAAAAAGCAACCAUAUAUUGUAUUGCCUACACAAAUGACAAUGGAAGCACAAUGUGCCAGGACUAUGGGACACAAUGAAAGCAGUUUUAAGAGGAAAGCUUAUAGCUGUAAAUGCGCACAUAAAAAGAGCAAUUUGAGCAAUCCCAAAUAACCUAAUGAUGCAUCUCAAGGUCCUAGGAAAACAAGAGCAAUCCAGGGCGGGGAUUUAGCUCAGUGGUUCCGCCACAUGCCUCGAAAGUGGAAGGACCCGAGUUCGGUACCAAAAAAAGAGAGCAAUCCAAAUCUGAAAUUAAUACCAGAGAAGAAAUUAUAAAAAUGACAGUGGAAAUCAAUGAAACUGGGACUAAAAAAAAAUAAUACACAAAGGCUGAAUGAAUCAAAGUUAGGUGUUGGGUGUGAGGGCCCACAACUGUAAUCCCAGCACUGAAGAGGCUCACAAGGAUAAAUGUGAGUUCGAAGCCAAUCUGGCUUACAUAGUGAGGCAUUGUCUCAAAAAAAAAAAAAAAAAA
Heterocephalus glaber (naked mole-rat) is the source of this 2250-nucleotide long non-coding RNA. RefSeq lists it as uncharacterized. The record is from RefSeq and is a predicted model, not a curated record. Lineage: Eukaryota; Metazoa; Chordata; Mammalia; Rodentia; Bathyergidae.